GUGAGGAAUAUUGGUCAAUGGGCGGAAGCCUGAACCAGCCAUCCCGCGUGCAGGAAGACGGCCCUAUGGGUUGUAAACUGCUUUUCCAGGGGGAGAAACUUUCCGAUGAAUCGGGAUUUGACGGUACCCUGGGAAUAAGCAUCGGCUAACUCCGUGCCAGCAGCCGCGGUAAUACGGAGGAUGCGAGCGUUAUCCGGAUUUAUUGGGUUUAAAGGGUGCGUAGGCGGAUCGAUAAGUCAGUGGUGAAAACCUGCAGCUUAACUGUAGACUUGCCGUUGAUACUGUUGGUUUUGAGUAUGGUCAAGGUAGGCGGAAUGUGUAAUGUAGCGGUGAAAUGCUUAGAUAUUACACAGAACACCGAUUGCGAAGGCAGCUUACUGGACCAUCACUGACGGUGAUGCACGAAAGCGUGGGGAUCGAACAG
RNAcentral lists this ribosomal RNA (424 nucleotides) under uncultured bacterium. Its description in RNAcentral is "bacterial SSU rRNA". It matches the Rfam family "Bacterial small subunit ribosomal RNA", at positions 354 to 775 of the family's 1533-position model. The record is from RNAcentral.